RNAcentral lists this ribosomal RNA (1401 nucleotides) under uncultured bacterium. RNAcentral's name for it is "bacterial SSU rRNA". It matches the Rfam family "Bacterial small subunit ribosomal RNA". The record is from RNAcentral.
AGAGUUUGAUCCUGGCUCAGGAUGAACGCUAGCGACAGGCUUAACACAUGCAAGUCGAGGGGCAGCGGGGGAGCAGCAAUGCUCCCGCCGGCGACCGGCGCACGGGUGAGUAACACGUAUGGAACCUGCCCGCAGCAGGGGGAUAAGCGGAAGAAAUUCCGUCUAAUACCGCGUAACACCGCGGAGGGGCAUCCCUCGGCGGUUAAAGAUUCAUCGGCUGCGGAUGGCCAUGCGGCGCAUUAGCUAGUCGGCGGGGUAACGGCCCACCGAGGCGACGAUGCGUAGGGGUUCUGAGAGGAAGGUCCCCCACACUGGUACUGAGACACGGACCAGACUCCUACGGGAGGCAGCAGUGAGGAAUAUUGGUCAAUGGCCGGGAGGCUGAACCAGCCAAGCCGCGUGAGGGAAGACGGCCCUACGGGUUGUAAACCUCUUUUGUCAGGGAGCAAGAGGCGGGUCGGGACCUGCUGUGAGAGUACCCGAAGAAAAAGCAUCGGCUAACUCCGUGCCAGCAGCCGCGGUAAUACGGAGGAUGCGAGCGUUAUCCGGAUUUAUUGGGUUUAAAGGGUGCGCAGGCGGAGGCACAAGUCAGCGGUAAAAUCGCGGGGCUCAACCCCGCUCCGCCGUUGAAACUGUGUCCCUUGAGUGCGCGAAGGGUAGGCGGAAUGCGUGGUGUAGCGGUGAAAUGCAUAGAUAUCACGCAGAACUCCGAUCGCGAAGGCAGCCUACCGGCGCGCAACUGACGCUCAUGCACGAAAGCGUGGGUAUCGAACAGGAUUAGAUACCCUGGUAGUCCACGCAGUAAACGAUGAAUGCUAUCUGUCCGGCCGGAAUGACGGCUGGGUGGCACAGCGAAAGCGUUAAGCAUUCCACCUGGGGAGUACGCCGGCAACGGUGAAACUCAAAGGAAUUGACGGGGGCCCGCACAAGCGGAGGAACAUGUGGUUUAAUUCGAUGAUACGCGAGGAACCUUACCCGGGCUCAAACGACACAGGGAUGCCGCCGAAAGGUGGCAGUCCUUCGGGACCUGUGUCGAGGUGCUGCAUGGUUGUCGUCAACUCGUGCCGUGAGGUGUCGGCUUAAGUGCCAUAACGAGCGCAACCCCCAUCUUCAGUUGCCAUCAGGUAGAGCUGGGCACUCUGGAGAGACUGCCGGCGCAAGCUGCGAGGAAGGCGGGGAUGACGUCAAAUCAGCACGGCCCUUACGUCCGGGGCGACACACGUGUUACAAUGGCAGGUACAGCGGGAAGCCAGGCGGCGACGCCGAGCGGAACCCGAAAACCUGUCUCAGUUCGGAUCGGAGUCUGCAACCCGACUCCGUGAAGCUGGAUUCGCUAGUAAUCGCGCAUCAGCCAUGGCGCGGUGAAUACGUUCCCGGGCCUUGUACUCACCGCCCGUCAAG